RNAcentral lists this ribosomal RNA (407 nucleotides) under uncultured bacterium. RNAcentral describes it as "partial 16S ribosomal RNA". It matches the Rfam family "Bacterial small subunit ribosomal RNA", at positions 30 to 526 of the family's 1533-position model. The record is from RNAcentral.
AUUGAACGCUAGCGGGAUGCCUUACACAUGCAAGUCGAACGGAGUGGCGAACGGGUGAGUAAUGUAUCGGAACGUGACCAGUAGCGGGGGAUAAAUACGCGAAAGCGUAGCUAAUAACGCAUACUAUUGGAGCGGCCGAUACCGGCUUAGCUAGUUGGUAGGGUAACGGCUCCCCAAGGCGACGAACCGUAGCUGGUUUGAGAGGACGACCAGCCACACUGGUACUGAGACACGGCCAUGACGCCUACGUAAGGCAGCAGUGGGUGAUUUUGGACAAUGGGGGAAGCCCUGAUCCAGACAUCCCGCGUGUGCGAUGAAGGCCUUCGGGUUGUAAAGCACUUUUGGCAGGAAAGCGGUACCUGCAGAAUAAGCACCGGCUAACUACGUGCCAGCAGCCGCGGUAAUAC